UAAACAGGCUGAAAGUUGCAGAACAGGAUUAGAAAAUAAUAUCCAGGUAAAAUGAGGAACUGUGCUCAUUUCCUCAUCUGCUUUGGCUUUAAACUGUAUUUUUAAAUGUGACUCAUUCAGUGUAUAACAGCAACCAGUUUUACCACCACACACCCAGAGACAGGAAUCUAUCCCAACUGGCAGAAAAUUAACCUUUAAAUGUUUCAGUACGUCCCUGUUGGUUCUGGCACGAGGUUGUGACUGGAAUGGCCGUUCAGUGACAACAUCAGCUGGGUUAAUACCAACCUGAGAAAGUGACUCAGUCUAAUCCGAUUGGAGGAAUAAGAGCCGCUCUAUGUCUGCAGGAGGAUGUUUAGAGCUGAUGUCGCUCAGGCUCAGAGGACGUCCUGGUAGACAUCUCAGGCCACAACCAUCAUAUCACACUUAGACACCGAGGAAAAUGAAAAGACCGCGUCAAUCACAGCUCAGCUUUGGGAAAGAAAAAGACACGGGACAAGAUGAGGAGGUGAGGAAGAUGAGAGAAGAAGAGCAGGAACCGUGCAAAAAAAUAGGGUUCACCACACCACUCGAAACAUCCAGAUGUGAUCUGUGGGACUAGAUCAUUAAAAUCUCUGUUAUCCAUGGAUGAAGAGACCUUUCAAGUUCUUCCUGUCAAACAUGCCAUACUAUGGAUGUGAUUGAGAUCAACCUCCUAAAGAUCGGGCUCCUGUGCAUCCUCUGAAAAAGCGUUGUCUUCUUUCAGGGAAUUGAUGACUUCAUGCAUCUUUUAUUACGCCUGAGGAAAGUAGUGUUUUACAGGUGGCUGCCCCGAGAGCUCAUCAGGCCUCAGCAGGAGUUUUAUGGAUUGGGAUGUUUUAUGUUCUGUGUGAGGAGUUGCCAACCCGUAUGGAGAUAAGAUGAACAUUAACAGAGUCUCUGCUGUCUCUGAAGCUGUUGGCUAUCCACAUAUGAUGAACGCAGCA
Long non-coding RNA from Pleuronectes platessa (European plaice), 962 nucleotides. RefSeq lists it as uncharacterized. The transcript is spliced from 3 exons. Lineage: Eukaryota; Metazoa; Chordata; Actinopteri; Pleuronectiformes; Pleuronectidae. The record is from RefSeq and is a predicted model, not a curated record.